GAGCCCCACAGACUGGUUGGCGAGACAGGGGCCCGGGUCAGUUAUCAGGCAAAGAGAAGCCAGACAGACGCUAGGCAGAUGGGGGAGUUAGGAAGGCAUAGAGAGACCGAGCUGGCCGCCCUCCUUCCCUUCAUCUUCACACACAACCUGGCCCCCAACCAAGCGGCUCCAGAGUCGUCUUCUCGUCUCCCUCUCCCCAGGGAUGGAGAAGUAGGAUCAGAUCAUAAUGAGCACCAUAUCUAGAACUGGCACUGCCGGAGGGGCAAAGAAGUAGGGGUGGACACCACUUCUGGGGACUGGUACAGGUGUUCGUUUCUUCAUCAAAUCCGAGGUUCUUAGAGCUAGAUCCGAAGUCCUCUCUCCAGGCUAUGUUCAAGAAGGUGGCUGUUCAUUUUUAGAUUUGUAAGCCUCCUUCUCCUCGGACAAAGAUCCGGAACCUCUCGAAGGAAAACUAAUCUUCCUCACAGCCAGAAACGCUCUUUAGAUCUAACCCAACUCCCUCUUGCUGCCAUUUUAAAAAUCAAUCGAGACAGCCCAUCGUUUCCUCCUGCUCUUUGCUCCGAGGACAGGGAUAGCAGCUCAUUAUAAUAAAGACCUUUCCUAGUUAUUCAGGGAAACCCAUGGCUCUCCCUUCUCUAGGUUCAACAUCGCUUACUGCUCUCCCUGGACCUAUUUUCCUGCCUUUUAGACAACAACAACAUCUUUAAAGGUCUACAAAGUACUACAAAUACAUUAUCUCAUUAAA
Molecule: long non-coding RNA, 745 nt
Organism: Antechinus flavipes (yellow-footed antechinus)
Lineage: Eukaryota; Metazoa; Chordata; Mammalia; Dasyuromorphia; Dasyuridae
Exons: 2
Source: RefSeq, a predicted model, not a curated record